GCCCUGGAAGCUUGUUUUAAGUAGCGGCCUUGUAAACCGAAGAUUGUGAUACUAAAUCUCUCAGGGCA
This 68-nucleotide transfer RNA is filed under the name Nautilus macromphalus (bellybutton nautilus). RNAcentral's name for it is "tRNA-Thr". The record is from RNAcentral. Lineage: Eukaryota; Metazoa; Mollusca; Cephalopoda; Nautilida; Nautilidae.